RNAcentral lists this long non-coding RNA (1167 nucleotides) under Nicotiana benthamiana. RNAcentral describes it as "long non-coding RNA (NBEN_LNC016827)". Lineage: Eukaryota; Viridiplantae; Streptophyta; Magnoliopsida; Solanales; Solanaceae. The record is from RNAcentral.
AAAAACUAAUAUGGACUAUUCCAACAAUAAAUCAAGCCCACAUUAUUUUUCUUAUUUUAACUCCUUUCUCCAUUUUUAUCUUUUCCCAGGCCCUAAUUUCUCUCCAUUUCGAUUGAGCUAAAUUCUUCAUCAAAAAGUAAAAAUCAGAGCUUUUUUUUUCAAUUUGAAAGAACUCGAUCCACCUUAGUCAAAUUUUUAACGUAAUCUUUCAUGCUACUUCUCUUAAUUUAUGUUCGAAUAAUGUUUCCAAAAUAUCAAAAGUGUUGACUGGUGCCUAUGUGGUCGUCCGUGUGAACUGAAAAUUUCAUGGAGUGCUGCUAACCCAGGAAGAAGGUACCUAACAUGCAAGAUUGGAAAAGUAAGUGUAUUCCAUAAUUCAAUCUACCAGUACUCGUUGAAGUGAAAUCCGCUUCAGCAUCAUCAACAGACGCAGAAUAAAUGAAAAAAUGGGAUUUGUGGACUCGCCUCAGGAUGGAGGGGAAGCUACUGUGGAAGAAGGCAGUUGUUGAGCAAGUGACAUUGGUUGAAGUUCAAUAUGAAUAUGCAUCAUCAACUGGAGAAGAAAGAUGAAGAUUCCGCUGAAGAUGUCGAAGAUUUAGAAGAAAGAUACGAUCGAAUAUGAUUAAGACGAAUAUGUCGAGUUAGAGCACGGAUUGAAAUUGUUAUGAGCAAGGGACAUUGGUUGAAGUUCAAUAUGAAAAAUUCAAUUUUAUUUGCCAUUGAUUUAAAUCAGUUAAUUUGUCUUUUGUUUGUUUAAAGGACAAUGAGAGAUGUAAAUAUUUUAGAUGGUUUGAGGACGAAUUUUCUGAGCAAGCGAAUAGAGUUAUAUGGGGUUUGUUGAAGAGAGUGAAAGACAUUUGAUCAAGAAAGAUAUCAAGCAAAAAAAUGGAGGAAUGCAAUAAUAUUUCUUGUUGUACUUGUGGCCUUAAUCAUAUGGCUUUGUUCAGGUUCUUGCUCUUGUUGAUGGACUGAACCAAGUUUAUGGGAAAAUCGUUUGUAAUUUUGGCUAGUUAAUAUAAUUAGUGUUGGGAAUGGCUGCUCUACUUUUGUUCAUUGAUGUUGUACUUGGGAUGGUAGGGGUCCUAUUUUGUGUAACCGAUAUUCCCUUAUCAAUUCAAUGUAUUUUUGUUUUUGUUAAAAAAAAUUACAAUUAUUUAGUCUUUACUG